Molecule: ribosomal RNA, 118 nt
Filed under: Trifolium repens (white clover)
Lineage: Eukaryota; Viridiplantae; Streptophyta; Magnoliopsida; Fabales; Fabaceae
Source: RNAcentral
AGGUGCGAUCAUACCAGCACUAAUGCACCGGAUCCCAUCAGAACUCCGCAGUUAAGCGUGCUUGGGCGAGAGUAGUACUAGGAUGGGUGACCUCCUGGGAAGUCCUUGUGUUGCACCU